Molecule: ribosomal RNA, 583 nt
Filed under: Pseudoalteromonas nigrifaciens
Lineage: Bacteria; Pseudomonadati; Pseudomonadota; Gammaproteobacteria; Alteromonadales; Pseudoalteromonadaceae
Description: bacterial SSU rRNA
Rfam family: Bacterial small subunit ribosomal RNA
Source: RNAcentral
CGACGGGUGAGUAAUGCUUGGGAACAUGCCUUGAGGUGGGGGACAACAGUUGGAAACGACUGCUAAUACCGCAUAAUGUCUACGGACCAAAGGGGGCUUCGGCUCUCGCCUUUAGAUUGGCCCAAGUGGGAUUAGCUAGUUGGUGAGGUAAUGGCUCACCAAGGCGACGAUCCCUAGCUGGUUUGAGAGGAUGAUCAGCCACACUGGGACUGAGACACGGCCCAGACUCCUACGGGAGGCAGCAGUGGGGAAUAUUGCACAAUGGGCGCAAGCCUGAUGCAGCCAUGCCGCGUGUGUGAAGAAGGCCUUCGGGUUGUAAAGCACUUUCAGUCAGGAGGAAAGGUUAGUAGUUAAUACCUGCUAGCUGUGACGUUACUGACAGAAGAAGCACCGGCUAACUCCGUGCCAGCAGCCGCGGUAAUACGGAGGGUGCGAGCGUUAAUCGGAAUUACUGGGCGUAAAGCGUACGCAGGCGGUUUGUUAAGCGAGAUGUGAAAGCCCCGGGCUCAACCUGGGAACUGCAUUUCGAACUGGCAAACUAUAGUGUGAUAGAGGGUGGUAGAAUUUCAGGUGUAGCGGUGAA